GCCCUAGUAGCUUAAACUCAAAGCAUUGUUCUUGUAAACCAAAAAUGGGUUCAACCCCUAGAGCA
RNAcentral lists this transfer RNA (65 nucleotides) under Orientocoluber spinalis (Slender racer). RNAcentral's name for it is "tRNA-Thr". It matches the Rfam family "tRNA". Rfam says of the family: Transfer RNA (tRNA) molecules are approximately 80 nucleotides in length. Lineage: Eukaryota; Metazoa; Chordata; Lepidosauria; Squamata; Colubridae. The record is from RNAcentral.